This 405-nucleotide ribosomal RNA is filed under the name uncultured bacterium. RNAcentral's name for it is "bacterial SSU rRNA". It matches the Rfam family "Bacterial small subunit ribosomal RNA", at positions 29 to 479 of the family's 1533-position model. The record is from RNAcentral.
AACGAACGCUGGCGGCAGGCCUAACACAUGCAAGUCGAGCGGACCCUUCGGGGUUAGCGGCGGACGGGUUAGUAACGCGUGGGAACGUGCCCAAAGGUACGGGAUAGCCUCGGGAAACUGAGAGUAAUACCGUAUGUGCCCCUCGGGGGAAAGAUUUAUCGCCUUUGGAUCGGCCCGCGUUGGAUUAGGUAGUUGGUGGGGUAAUGGCCUACCAAGCCUACGAUCCAUAGCUGGUUUGAGAGGAUGAUCAGCAACACUGGGACUGAGACACGGCCCAGACUCCUACGGGAGGCAGCAGUGGGGAAUCUUAGACAAUGGGGGAAACCCUGAUCUAGCCAUGCCGCGUGGACGAUGAAGGCCCUAGGGUUGUAAAGUCCUUUCAGCUGGGAAGAUAAUGACGGUACC